GGUGAACGCUGGCGGCGUGCCUAAUACAUGCAAGUCGAGCGAACGGACGAGAAGCUUGCUUCUCUGAUGUUAGCGGCGGACGGGUGAGUAACACGUGGAUAACCUACCUAUAAGACUGGGAUAACUUCGGGAAACCGGAGCUAAUACCGGAUGAUAUUUUGAACCGCAUGGUUCAAAAGUGAAAGACGGUCUUGCUGUCACUUAUAGAUGGAUCCGCGCUGCAUUAGCUAGUUGGUAAGGUAACGGCUUACCAAGGCAACGAUGCAUAGCCGACCUGAGAGGGUGAUCGGCCACACUGGAACUGAGACACGGUCCAGACUCCUACGGGAGGCAGCAGUAGGGAAUCUUCCGCAAUGGGCGAAAGCCUGACGGAGCAACGCCGCGUGAGUGAUGAAGGUCUUCGGAUCGUAAAACUCUGUCAUUAGGGAAGAACAUAUGUGUAAGUAACUGUGCACAUCUUGACGGUACCUAAUCAGAAAGCCACGGCUAACUACGUG
Molecule: ribosomal RNA, 497 nt
Filed under: uncultured bacterium
Lineage: Bacteria
Description: partial 16S ribosomal RNA
Rfam family: Bacterial small subunit ribosomal RNA
Source: RNAcentral